GAUGAACACUGGCGGCGUGCCUAAUACAUGCAAGUCGAGCGAACAGACGAGGAGCUUGCUCCUCUGACGUUAGCGGCGGACGGGUGAGUAACACGUGGAUAACCUACCUAUAAGACUGGGAUAACUUCGGGAAACCGGAGCUAAUACCGGAUAAUAUAUUGAACCGCAUGGUUCAAUAGUGAAAGACGGUUUUGCUGUCACUUAUAGAUGGAUCCGCGCCGCAUUAGCUAGUUGGUAAGGUAACGGCUUACCAAGGCAACGAUGCGUAGCCGACCUGAGAGGGUGAUAGGACACACUGGAACUGAGAAACGGUCCAGACUCCGACGGGAGGCAGCAGUAGGGAAUGUUCCGCAAUGGGCGAAAGCCUGACGGAGCAACGCAGCGUGAGUGAUGAAGGUCUUCGGAUCGUAAAACUCUGUUAUUAGGGAAGAACAAAUGUGUAAGUAACUAUGCACGUCUUGACGGUACCUAAUCAGAAAGCAACGGCUAACUACGUG
Molecule: ribosomal RNA, 497 nt
Filed under: uncultured bacterium
Lineage: Bacteria
Description: partial 16S ribosomal RNA
Rfam family: Bacterial small subunit ribosomal RNA
Source: RNAcentral